GAUGAACGCUGGCGGCGUGCUUAACACAUGCAAGUCGAACGAAGCAUUUAGAACAGUUUACUUCGGUUUGUGGCUCUUUAUGACUGAGUGGCGGACGGGUGAGUAACGCGUGGGUAACCUGCAUUGUACUGGGGGAUAGCAGCUGGAAACGGCUGGUAAUACCGCAUAAGGGCCCAAUGUUGAAUGACAUGGUGUGAAAAACUCCGGAGGUAUAAGAUGGACCGGCGUCUGAUUAGAUAGUUGGUGAGUUACAAGCCGACCAAGCCGACGAUCAGUAGCCGACCAGCGAGGGUGCCCGGCCACAUCGGGACUGAGGCACGGCCCAGACUCCUACGGGAGGCAGCAGUGGGGAAUAGUGCACAAUGGAGGAAAGUCUGAUGCAGCUACGCCGCGUGAAUGAAUAAGUAAUUCGUUAAGUAAAGCUCUAUCAGCCGAUAAGAUAGUGACGGUACCUUACUAAGAAGCUCCGGCUAAAUUCGUG
RNAcentral lists this ribosomal RNA (481 nucleotides) under uncultured bacterium. RNAcentral describes it as "partial 16S ribosomal RNA". It matches the Rfam family "Bacterial small subunit ribosomal RNA", at positions 28 to 507 of the family's 1533-position model. The record is from RNAcentral.